This 253-nucleotide ribosomal RNA is filed under the name uncultured bacterium. RNAcentral's name for it is "partial 16S ribosomal RNA". It matches the Rfam family "Bacterial small subunit ribosomal RNA", at positions 524 to 776 of the family's 1533-position model. The record is from RNAcentral.
UACGUAGGGUGCAAGCGUUGUCCGGAAUUAUUGGGCGUAAAGAGCUCGUAGGCGGUUUGUUGCGUCGGCUGUGAAAUCCCGAGGCUCAACCUCGGGUCUGCAGUCGAUACGAGCAAACUAGAGUGUUGCAGGGGAGACUGGAAUUCCUGGUGUAGCGGUGAGAUGCGCAGAUAUCAGGAGGAACACCGGUGGCGAAGGCGGGUCUCUGGGCAACAACUGACGCUGAGGAGCGAAAGCGUGGGGAGCGAACAGG